UAGGGAAUAUUGCAAAAUGGGCGAAAGCCCGAUGCAGCAACGCCGCGUGGGCGAUGAAGGCCUUCGGGUCGUAAAGCCCUUUUUGAGGGGAUGAGGAAGGACAGUACCCUCAGAAUAAGCCUCGGCUAACUACGUGCCAGCAGCCGCGGUAAAACGUAGGAGGCGAGCGUUAUCCGGAUUUACUGGGCGUAAAGCGCGUGCAGGCGGAUUGGAGAGUUGGAUGUGAAAGCUCCCGGCUUAACUGGGAGAGGUCGUUCAAUACUUCCAGUCUUGAGUGCAGUAGAGGGAAGUGGAAUUCCGGGUGUAGUGGUGAAAUACUUAGAUAUGUCAUAGAACACCGAUUGCGAAGGCAGCUAACGAAACUAUAACUGACGCUGAGGCACGAAAGUGCGGGGAUCAAACA
RNAcentral lists this ribosomal RNA (403 nucleotides) under uncultured bacterium. RNAcentral describes it as "bacterial SSU rRNA". It matches the Rfam family "Bacterial small subunit ribosomal RNA", at positions 355 to 774 of the family's 1533-position model. The record is from RNAcentral.